AGAGUUUGAUUAUGGCUCAGAACGAACGCUGGCGGCGCGUUUUAAGCAUGCAAGUCGAGCGGCAAGGGUCUUCGGGCCCCUAGAGCGGCGGACGGGUGAGUAACACGUGGACAAUCUGCCCCCCGGCCGGGGAUAGCCCAGGGAAACCUGGAUUAAUACCGGAUGAGACGGGACCCGCGGAGGCGGGAUCCGGGAAAGGCGCUGCGGCGCCGCCGGGGGAUGAGUCUGCGUCCCAUUAGCUUGACGGCGGGGUAACGGCCCACCGUGGCGACGAUGGGUAGCCGGCCUGAGAGGGUGGACGGCCACAUUGGAACUGAGACACGGUCCAGACUCCUACGGGAGGCAGCAGCUAAGAAUCUUCCGCAAUGGGCGAAAGCCUGACGGAGCGACGCCGCGUGAACGAAGAAGGCCGUGAGGUUGUAAAGUUCCUUUCGGGAGGGGGAACAACCGUGGCAGGGAAUGGCCGCGGGAUGACGUGAAUCCCGGAAUAAGCCCCGGCUAACUACGUGCCAGCAGCCGCGGUAACACGUAGGGGGCGAGCGUUGUUCGGAAUCAUUGGGCGUAAAGGGCGUGCAGGCGGUCCUGCAAGUCCGGCGUGAAAGACCCCGGCCCAACCGGGGGGGCGCGCUGGAAACUGCAGGGCUUGAGUACAGGAGGGGAUGCCGGAAUUCCAGGUGUAGGGGUGAAAUCUGUAGAUAUCUGGAGGAACACCAAUGGCGAAGGCAGGCAUCUGGCCAUGUACUGACGCUGAGACGCGAAGGUGCGGGGAGCAAACAGGAUUAGAUACCCUGGUAGUC
This 797-nucleotide ribosomal RNA is filed under the name uncultured Sphaerochaeta sp. RNAcentral's name for it is "bacterial SSU rRNA". It matches the Rfam family "Bacterial small subunit ribosomal RNA", at positions 8 to 795 of the family's 1533-position model. Lineage: Bacteria; Pseudomonadati; Spirochaetota; Spirochaetia; Spirochaetales; Sphaerochaetaceae. The record is from RNAcentral.